GGGUCAUUAGCUCAGUUGGCAGAGCACCUGACUUUUAAUCAGGGCGUCCGGCGUUCGAGUCGCCGAUGGCCCACCA
This 76-nucleotide transfer RNA is filed under the name Syntrophomonadaceae bacterium. Its description in RNAcentral is "tRNA-Lys". It matches the Rfam family "tRNA". From Rfam's summary of the family: Transfer RNA (tRNA) molecules are approximately 80 nucleotides in length. Their secondary structure includes four short double-helical elements and three loops (D, anti-codon, and T loops). Lineage: Bacteria; Bacillati; Bacillota; Clostridia; Eubacteriales; Syntrophomonadaceae. The record is from RNAcentral.